AGCAGCCGCGGUAAUUCCAGCUCCAAUAGCGUAUAUUAAAGUUGUUGCAGUUAAAAAGCUCGUAGUUGAAUUUCGGGAUCAAUUUAUUGGUCGUGCUAUUGUACGUACUGGUAUUAUUGAUUCCUACCUUCUGACGAACCACGAUGUCAUUAAUUUGGUGUCAUGGGGAAUCAGGACUGUUACUUUGAAAAAUUAGAGUGUUUAAAGCAGGCUCACGCUUGAAUACAUUAGCAUGGAAUAACGAAAUAGGACGUUUGAUUCUAUUUUGUUGGUUUCUAGGAUCGACGUAAUGAUUAAUAGGGAUAGUUGGGGGCAUUAGUAUUCAAUUGUCAGAGGUGAAAUUCUUGGAUUUAUUGAAGACUAACUACUGCGAAAGCAUUUGCCAAGGAUGUUUUCAUUAAUCAAGAACGAAAGUUAGGGGAUCGAAGACGAUCAGAUACCGUCGUAGUC
RNAcentral lists this ribosomal RNA (450 nucleotides) under uncultured Glomeromycotina. RNAcentral's name for it is "SSU rRNA". It matches the Rfam family "Eukaryotic small subunit ribosomal RNA", at positions 569 to 1025 of the family's 1831-position model. Lineage: Eukaryota; Fungi; Glomeromycota. The record is from RNAcentral.